GCAGCGCCGCGGGAAUACGAAGGGUGCAAGCGUUAAUCGGAAUUACUGGGCGUAAAGCGUGCGUAGGCGGUUUGUUAAGUCUGCUGUGAAAUCCCCGGGCUCAACCUGGGAAUGGCAGUGGAUACUGGCAAGCUAGAGUGUGUCAGAGGAUGGUGGAAUUCCCGGUGUAGCGGUGAAAUGCGUAGAGAUCGGGAGGAACAUCAGUGGCGAAGGCGGCCAUCUGGGACAACACUGACGCUGAGGCACGAAAGCGUGGGGAGCAAACAGGAUUAGAUACCCGGGUAGUCCCUGUCUCUUAUACA
RNAcentral lists this ribosomal RNA (302 nucleotides) under uncultured bacterium. RNAcentral's name for it is "partial 16S ribosomal RNA". It matches the Rfam family "Bacterial small subunit ribosomal RNA", at positions 508 to 808 of the family's 1533-position model. The record is from RNAcentral.